GACGAACGCUGGCGGCGUGCUUAACACAUGCAAGUCGAACGGAAAGGCCCUGCUUUUGUGGGGUGCUCGAGUGGCGAACGGGUGAGUAACACGUGAGUAACCUGCCCUUGACUUUGGGAUAACUUCAGGAAACUGGGGCUAAUACCGGAUAGGAGCUCCUGCUGCAUGGUGGGGGUUGGAAAGUUUCGGCGGUUGGGGAUGGACUCGCGGCUUAUCAGCUUGUUGGUGGGGUAGUGGCUUACCAAGGCUUUGACGGGUAGCCGGCCUGAGAGGGUGACCGGCCACAUUGGGACUGAGAUACGGCCCAGACGCCUACGGGAGGCAGCAGUGGGGAAUAUGGAACAAUGGGCGGAAGCCUGAUGCAGCAACGCCGCGUGCGGGAUGACGGCCUUCGGGUUGUAAACCGCUUUCGCCUGUGACGAAGCGUGAGUGACGGUAAUGGGUAAAGAAGCACCGGCUAACUACGUG
Molecule: ribosomal RNA, 468 nt
Filed under: uncultured bacterium
Lineage: Bacteria
Description: partial 16S ribosomal RNA
Rfam family: Bacterial small subunit ribosomal RNA
Source: RNAcentral